UUUCCAGCAUUUCGACUGGGUAUGGUGUCUCGCAGGGAUUGAGCGAUCGAUCGACGACGGUGCAAUCGAUACGAUUGCGGGGCGAUGCUGCUCCAGUCCGGAGGCGCCAUUCCCAGGCGGCUGUCGUCCGGCUUCUGCGAUGAUGAUUCUAAUCGGCAGCGAUCUCGUCGCUGCCUCUGUGUUAGAGCGGUAGCUACCUCGGAUCCUCCGGCUUCCGAGGCGAAAUCUUCUCGUAGGAAUGUCAAUGGGAGCGCAAGGAUUAAUGGCAGUGCUGGCCGAAGCAUGCGAGUGGGAGAUAUGGCGGAGGAAGUGAAGAAGAUGAGAGCUCAGCUCGAAGAAGACGAGCAAGUCGCUUCAUUCAUGCGUGGGCUUCGAGGACAGAAUCUCUCGGACGAGCUCUUCGCGUCAUCGACCGUAAAGCUUCGCCUUGUCGAGGUUGACAGAGAAGGAGACAAGGAAGCACUGCCCCUGGUUUAUAGCCCCCAAGCGAUAUCUGCGUACUGGGGAAAGCGCCCUGCCGCUGUUUUCACUCGCAUUUUCCAGUUGCUUGGUGUUGCUGGCGGAUUUCUUUCUCACCUCGCUGGAGACAUCGUUUCGAAGAAGCUGAAAGAGAAUGAAGUCGCGCGAGCUAUCGAGCUGAGGGAAAUUGUAACAUCGCUUGGACCUGCCUAUAUCAAGCUUGGACAAGCUCUCAGCAUUCGUCCUGAUAUAUUGUCUCCUGCCGCCAUGACUGAGCUACAGAAGCUUUGUGACAAAGUGCCGUCAUUUCCGAACGAUAUUGCAAUGGAUCUUAUUGAGAAAGAAUUGGGCCAGCCAUGGACCGAACUGUAUUCGGAGCUUUCUCCAUCUCCUAUUGCUGCCGCAUCUCUGGGGCAAGUUUAUAAGGGUCGGCUUAAGGAGACGGGAGAACCUGUGGCUGUAAAAGUUCAAAGGCCUUACGUACUUGAGACUGUAACUAUUGACUUGUACAUCAUCAGAAAACUUGGGCUCGCUCUUCGAAAAUUUCCACAGAUAGCUACAGAUGUUGUUGGUCUUGUGGAUGAAUGGGCUGCACGGUUUUUCGAAGAGCUUGAUUAUGUCAAUGAAGGUCGGAAUGGAACUAGGUUUGCAGAAAUGAUGCGGCAAGACCUUCCUCAGGUAGUUGUCCCAAAAACUUACGCCAAGUAUACAUCAAGAAGAGUAUUAACAACCGGAUGGAUUGAUGGAGAGAAACUUUCUCAAAGUACAGCUGAUGAUGUCGGAGAACUUGUAAAUGUAGGUGUAAUUUGCUAUCUAAAACAGUUGCUAGAUACAGGUUUAUUCCACGCUGACCCACAUCCUGGGAAUCUAAUACGCACUCUUGAUGGGAAGUUGGCCAUACUUGAUUUUGGUCUGAUGACACAAAUAACAGAUGACCAAAAAUACGGAAUGAUUGAAGCGAUAUCGCAUCUUAUUCAUCGUGACUACGAGGCUAUUGUCAAGGAUUUUGUGAAGCUAGAUUUCAUUCCCGAAGGAGUGAAUCUAAAUCCGAUUAUGCCUGUUUUGGCGAAAGUGUUUGAUCAAGCUCUAGAAGGCGGUGGUGCCAAGAACAUCAACUUUCAGGAACUUGCCUCCGAUCUGGCUCAAAUCACAUUUGAUUAUCCUUUCCGGAUUCCUCCAUAUUUUGCUCUUAUAAUUCGAGCUAUUGGAGUUCUGGAAGGCAUUGCAUUAGUAGGCAACCCGGACUUCGCAAUAGUAGACGAAGCGUAUCCUUACAUCGCACAGAGGCUUCUUACAGAUGAUUCUCCAAGAUUAAGAGAAGCUCUUCGGUAUACCCUCUACGGGAAAACCGGUGUUUUCGACGUGGACAGAUUCAUCGAUGUUAUGGAAGCGUUUGAGUCAUUUACUGUGGCUGCUAAAAGUGGAGGCGGUGAAGCACUCGGUGGGGAUAUGGCAUCCCUUGGUUCGUUACCGAGUACUUCAAGAGACAUUAUCUUGCGAACGACUAGUAAGGAUCUUCCGUCCGGACAAAUGCACGCUAGGGUGGCGCUGGGAUUUAUGGUCUCCGAGCGUGGAGAAUUCUUUCGCGAAUUUAUACUAGACGAGGUUGUGAAAGGACUGGAUGCACUGUCUAGGGAGCAAGUUGCUCGUGCGUUGCCAUUACUGGGCCUGAACAGAAUCGAUACCAUUUUAAGGUCUAUGCCUGUCGUUGGCGUUUUUGCCAGUGCUUUGCCUUUCAUGCCUCAUCGGCUACUCCCCACCAUUACAGCCAUCACAGAAGAAGACGAGCUUGUAUUGAACAACGUAUAUAAAAUCAUCUCCUUUUUUGUAGAAGGAACUCCAUCGUUCAGAACAAUCGAUCGGGAAAAUGGAUUGGAAGUGCUCAGAUUACUAAGAGAACUCCAACCCAUUCUUCCAAACAUUUCAUCGAAGCUGGUUCCAGAGAUAGUGAGCCGUUUCGCAUCGCGUGUUGUUGCCAGAGUCCUGCGGGAAGUUUUCUUGUGAAGCACGUCAAAUAGUUUGGAUGACUGGCGAAAGACAAAGUCACGGCAAAGAUGCACAGAGCAUGCCAGAGCGAUGCAAUGAAGAAUCUCGCUCUAUGUUAAUUGUACGCAAUCUCAGGCCAGUUCUAGCAAUCUGCUUUAUACUUUUUUAAUUUUUCCUUCUUUGAUUGUAGCAGUGGGAACCCCUGGAAAAGGGCUUCACAGGCCUGACGUGUUAUAUUUCGACUGUCACAGGGCCCUGUACAAAUAAAUGUAGCUGCCAAAACUUUGGUCUUAUGGGGAGCGAAAUGUGGAUAACUACUUGAAAACUGUAACUGCAAAUGGGUUCUCUGGGAAACUUGCAGCUCUGGAAACUCAAAAUUAAACUUGCAUCAAUAAGAUUAGAGCAAUACCUCGAGUAAGUAUUGCGACUGC
Molecule: RNA transcript, 2876 nt
Organism: Selaginella moellendorffii
Lineage: Eukaryota; Viridiplantae; Streptophyta; Lycopodiopsida; Selaginellales; Selaginellaceae
Exons: 15
Source: RefSeq, a predicted model, not a curated record